RNAcentral lists this transfer RNA (30 nucleotides) under Phylica laevigata. RNAcentral describes it as "partial tRNA-His". Lineage: Eukaryota; Viridiplantae; Streptophyta; Magnoliopsida; Rosales; Rhamnaceae. The record is from RNAcentral.
CGGGUGUAGCCAAGUGGGUCAGGGCAGUGG